Molecule: non-coding RNA, 24 nt
Filed under: Arabidopsis thaliana (thale cress)
Lineage: Eukaryota; Viridiplantae; Streptophyta; Magnoliopsida; Brassicales; Brassicaceae
Source: RNAcentral
GAGGUGUGUCAAUUGGGCUGUUGA